AUGAACGCUGGCGGCGUGCCUAAUACAUGCCAGUCGAGCGAAUGGAUUAAGAGCUUGCUCUUAUGAAGUUAGCGGCGGACGGGUGAGUAACACGUGGGUAACCUGCCCAUAAGACUGGGAUAACUCCGGGAAACCGGGGCUAAUACCGGAUAACAUUUUGAACCGCAUGGUUCGAAAUUGAAAGGCGGCUUCGGCUGUCACUUAUGGAUGGACCCGCGUCGCAUUAGCUAGUUGGUGAGGUAACGGCUCACCAAGGCAACGAUGCGUAGCCGACCUGAGAGGGUGGUCGGCCACACUGGGACUGAGACACGGCCCAGACUCCUACGGGAGGCAGCAGUAGGGAAUCUUCCGCAAUGGGCGAAAGUCUGACGGAGCAACGCCGCGUGAGGGAUGAAGGCUUUCGGGUCGUAAAACUCUGUUGUUAGGGAAGAACAAGUGCUAGUUGAAUAAGCUGGCACCUUGACGGUACCUAAUCAGAAAGCCACGGCUAACUACGUG
RNAcentral lists this ribosomal RNA (498 nucleotides) under uncultured bacterium. RNAcentral describes it as "partial 16S ribosomal RNA". It matches the Rfam family "Bacterial small subunit ribosomal RNA", at positions 29 to 507 of the family's 1533-position model. The record is from RNAcentral.